AUUGAACGCUGGCGGCAGGCCUAACACAUGCAAGUCGAACGGUAACAGGAAGAAGCUUGCUUCUUUGCUGACGCGUGGCGGACGGGUGAGUAAUGUCUAUGAAACUUCCUGAUGGAGGGGGAUAACUACUGGAAACGGUAGCUAAUACCGCAUAACGUCCCAAGACCAGAGAGGAGGACCUUCGGGCCUCUUGCCAUCGGAUGUGCCCAGAUGGGAUUAGCUAGUAGGUGGGGUAACGGCUCACCUAGGCGACGAUCCCUAGCUGGUCUGAGAGGAUGACCAGCCACACUGGAACUGAGACACGGUCCAGACUCCUACGGGAGGCAGCAGUGGGGAAUAUUGCACAAUGGGCGCAAGCCUGAUGCAGCCAUGCCGCGUGUAUGAAGAAGGCCUUCGGGUUGUAAAGUACUUUUAGCGGGGAGGAAGGGAGUAAAGUUAAUACCUCUGCUCAUUGACGUUACCCGAAGAAGAAGCACCGGCUAACUCCGUG
This 490-nucleotide ribosomal RNA is filed under the name uncultured bacterium. RNAcentral describes it as "partial 16S ribosomal RNA". It matches the Rfam family "Bacterial small subunit ribosomal RNA", at positions 30 to 507 of the family's 1533-position model. The record is from RNAcentral.